This 292-nucleotide ribosomal RNA is filed under the name uncultured bacterium. RNAcentral describes it as "partial 16S ribosomal RNA". It matches the Rfam family "Bacterial small subunit ribosomal RNA", at positions 505 to 796 of the family's 1533-position model. The record is from RNAcentral.
GUGCCAGCAGCCGCGGUAAGACAGAGGUUGCAAACGUUGUUCGGAAUUACUGGGCAUAAAGCGCACGUAGGCGGUCCACUAAGUCAGGUGUGAAAUCCCCCGGCUCAACCGGGGAAUUGCGCCUGAUACUGGCGGGCUCGAGAUCGAUAGGGGUGAGCGGAACUCCAGGUGGAGCGGUGAAAUGCGUAGAUAUCUGGAGGAACACCGGUGGCGAAAGCGGCUCACUGGAUCGACACUGACGCUGAGGUGCGAAAGCUAGGGUAGCAAACGGGAUUAGAUACCCCGGUAGUCC